Long non-coding RNA from Ipomoea nil (Japanese morning glory), 225 nucleotides. RefSeq lists it as uncharacterized. Lineage: Eukaryota; Viridiplantae; Streptophyta; Magnoliopsida; Solanales; Convolvulaceae. The transcript has 3 exons. The record is from RefSeq and is a predicted model, not a curated record.
UGCUUUCCUUUUAUUCUUUGCAUAUGCUUUAUGGAUGCUGAGAAUGCUUAAUGAUUUAUGUUGUAAGAGCUUUGUGCCUUUGACAUCGUCGUGGUCUACUUAGUUUCCUCUGUGAAUAUUGUAGGUUAUGCUAUGCUUAUGUGAUGUACUUUCAAGGUUAAUCGAGCAAUGAAUUGUGUAUUUCGCUCGUAUCUGAAUUAUUAAUGUGUUACUUUUCUGAACAAA